Non-coding RNA from Drosophila melanogaster (fruit fly), 323 nucleotides. The record is from Ensembl. NCBI's taxonomy places the organism in Eukaryota, Metazoa, Arthropoda, Insecta, Diptera, Drosophilidae.
UCGAGCACACCGAGUGCAUCGAGUGCUCCGCUCUGCAUGGGCAUCAAGUGUCCGGGGGCAGUUGCAGUUGCACUGGCUGUUGCUGUUGCAUUGGCCCAACAUCGGACCAAAUGAAGCCAUUAGUCGGCGCGGAGUUGUGGCCCAAAUAUAGGCACACUUGCCGGGAGUUGGCAUCUCGCGCCGGACUGCUCACUCCCGAUUUUCCACUCCCUGGUGACGACGGGCGAUCUCGAGUUUCAUGGAUCUCCCAGAAGAAAGUUUUCUCUGAAUUGCCAACCUUUUGCAUGAAAUCUGUUUCAAGACCAUUAUAGUAUCUCUUAUGG